Molecule: unclassified non-coding RNA, 403 nt
Filed under: soil metagenome
Description: partial contains 5.8S ribosomal RNA, internal transcribed spacer 2, and large subunit ribosomal RNA
Rfam family: 5.8S ribosomal RNA (bases 1-121)
Source: RNAcentral
GAUGAAGAACGUAGCGUAAUGCGAUAAGUAAUGUGAAUUGCAGAAUUCAGUGAAUCAUCGAAUCUUUGAACGCACCUUGCGCCCUUUGGCUAUUCCGAAGGGCAUGUCUGUUUGAGUAUCAUGAACACCUCAACUCUUUAUGGUUUUCCAUGAAGGGCUUGGACUUUGGGGGUCUUGCUGGCCUUUAGUCAGCUCCUCUCAAACGAAUCAGCUUUCCAGUGUUUGGCAGCGUCACAGGUGUGAUAACUAUCUACGCUUGUGGUUUUCUGCCAGGUAAUCCUCAGUGAUGGGGAUUCGCUGGGGCUUAUAAAUGUCUCUCCUCAGCGAAGACAGCUUUGUGAACGUUUGAUCUCAAAUCAGGUAGGACUACCCGCUGAACUUAAGCAUAUCAAUAAGCGGAGGA